This 348-nucleotide ribosomal RNA is filed under the name uncultured bacterium. Its description in RNAcentral is "bacterial SSU rRNA". It matches the Rfam family "Bacterial small subunit ribosomal RNA", at positions 355 to 720 of the family's 1533-position model. The record is from RNAcentral.
UGGGGAAUAUUGGACAAUGGGCGAAAGCCUGAUCCAGCAAUGCCGCGUGAGUGAUGAAGGCCUUAGGGUUGUAAAGCUCUUUUACCCGGGAUGAUAAUGACAGUACCUGUAGAAUAAGCUCCGGCUAACUACGUGCCAGCAGCCGCGGUAAUACGUAGGGAGCAAGCGUUAUCCGGAUUUAUUGGGUGUAAAGGGUGCGUAGACGGGAGUCUAAGUUAGUUGUGAAAUCCCUCGGCUUAACCGAGGAACUGCAACUAAAACUGGAUUUCUUGAGUGCGGGAGAGGAAAGUGGAAUUCCUAGUGUAGCGGUGAAAUGCGUAGAUAUUAGGAGGAACACCAGUGGCGAAG